Molecule: ribosomal RNA, 330 nt
Filed under: uncultured eukaryote
Lineage: Eukaryota
Description: partial 18S ribosomal RNA
Rfam family: Eukaryotic small subunit ribosomal RNA
Source: RNAcentral
CCCUUAGAUGUUCGGGGCCGCACGCGCGCUACACUGAAGGAAUCAGCACGUCUUUCUCCUUGUCCGAAAGGACUGGGUAACCCGCUGAACCUCCUUCGUGCUAGGGAUUGGGGCUUGUAAUUCUUCCCCAUGAACGAGGAAUUCCCAGUAAGCGCGAGUCAUAAGCCCGCGUUGAUUACGUCCCUGCCCUUUGUACACACCGCCCGUCGCUACUACCGAUUGGAUGGUUUAGUGAGAUCCUCGGAUUGGUCCCGGCGCGGCCUCUGGUCGUGCCGGAGUGCCGAAAAGAAUGUCGAACUUGAUCAUCUAGAGGAAGUAAAAGUCGUAACA